AAAUGCGAUAAGUAAUGUGAAUUGCAGAAUUCAGUGAAUCAUCGAAUCUUUGAACGCACAUUGCGCCCGCCAGUAUUCUGGCGGGCAUGCCUGUCCGAGCGUCAUUUCAACCAUCAAGCCCCCGGGCUUGUGUUGGGGACCUGCGGCUGCCCGCAGGCCCCGAAAACCAGUGGCGGGCUCGCUGUCACACCGAGCGUAGUAGCAAUCACCUCGCUCAGGGCGUGCUGCGGGUUCCGGCCGUUAAACAGCCUUACAAAACCCAAGGUUGACCUCGGAUCAGGUAGGAAGACCCGCUGAACUUAAGC
RNAcentral lists this unclassified non-coding RNA (305 nucleotides) under plant metagenome. Its description in RNAcentral is "partial contains 5.8S ribosomal RNA, internal transcribed spacer 2, and large subunit ribosomal RNA". The stretch from base 1 to 104 matches the Rfam family "5.8S ribosomal RNA", at positions 51 to 154 of the family's 154-position model. The record is from RNAcentral.